CGGCCCAGGCCACCGUAAAAGUCCCGGAUGCUGCAGCCCCUCGGCGCGGCCCAGACCACCGUAACAGUCCCGGAUGCUGCAGCCCCUCGGCGCGGCCCAGGCCACUGUAACAGUCCCGGAUGCUGCAGCCCUUCGGCCCAGGCCACCGUGACAGUUCCGGAUGCUGCAGCCCACGGAUGAAGUAGAGUGGCACGAUCUCAGCUCACUGCAACCUCCGCCUACUGGGUUCAAGCGAUUCUCCUGCCCCAGCCCCCGAAUAACUGGGAUGACAGCUCUCAGCCUCUCUUGUCUGCUGCCAUGUAAGAUGUGCCUUUCACCUUCCGCCAUGGUUGUGAGGCUUCCCCAGCCACCUGGAACUGAAAGUCUUUGUGAGGACACAGCUAGAAGGUGGCCAUCUGCAAGCCAGGAAAGGAGCACCCCCCAGAAGCUGACCAUGCUGGCAUCCGGAUCUCAGACUUCCAGCCUCCAGUACUGUGAAAAAAUAAAUUUCAGUUGUUCAAGCCA
Molecule: long non-coding RNA, 504 nt
Organism: Symphalangus syndactylus (siamang)
Lineage: Eukaryota; Metazoa; Chordata; Mammalia; Primates; Hylobatidae
Source: RefSeq, a predicted model, not a curated record